Molecule: small nucleolar RNA, 124 nt
Organism: Molossus molossus (Pallas's mastiff bat)
Lineage: Eukaryota; Metazoa; Chordata; Mammalia; Chiroptera; Molossidae
Product: small nucleolar RNA SNORA28
Exons: 1
Source: RefSeq, a predicted model, not a curated record
AAGCAACACUCUGUGGCAGAUGAUCAAAACCGUCUGACACAAUCUGAGCUUGUUACAGCAACAAGGUUUAACUUAUUCCGAUGCUCUCUUCUAGGGGACAAGCCGUUAUACAGACUUAGAUGGU